AGGGGGGCAGCUAUCUGCAGUCGAGCGGACAGAUGGGAGCUUGCUCCCUGAUGUUAGCGGCGGACGGGUGAGUAACGCGUGGGUAACCUGCCUGUAAGACUGGGAUAACUCCGGGAAACCGGGGCUAAUACCGGAUGGUUGUUUGAACCGCGUGGUUCAGACAUAAAAGGUGGCUUCGGCUACCACUUACGGAUGGACCCGCGGCGCAUUAGCUAGUUGGUGAGGUAACGGCUCACCAAGGCGACGAUGCGUAGCCGACCUGAGAGGGUGAUCGGCCACACUGGGACUGAGACACGGCCCAUACUCCUACGGGAGGCAGCAGUAGGGAAUCUUCCGCAAUGGACGAAAGUCUGACCGACCAACGCCGCGUGAGUGAUGAAGGUUUUCGGAUCGUAAAGCUCUGUUGUUAGGGAAGAACAAGUGCCGUUCAAAUAGGUCGGCACCUUGACGGUACCUAACCAGAAAGCCACGGCUAACUACGUGCCAGCAGCCGCGGUAAUACGUAGGUGGCAAGCGUUGUCCGGAAUUAUUGGGCGUAAAGGGCUCGCAGGCGGUUUCUUAAGUCUGAUGUGAAAGCCCCCGGCUCAACCGGGAGGGUCAUUGGAAACUGGGGAACUUGAGUGCAAAUAGGAGAGUGGAAUUCCACGUGUACGGUGAAAUGCGUACAGAUGUGGAAGAACACCAGUGGCGAAGGCGACUCUCUGGUCUGUAACUGACGCUGAGGAGCGAAAGCGUGGGGAGCGAACAGGAUUAGAUACCCUGGUAGUCCACGCCCGUAAACGAUGAGUGCUAAGUGUUAGGU
RNAcentral lists this ribosomal RNA (802 nucleotides) under Bacillus velezensis. Its description in RNAcentral is "bacterial SSU rRNA". It matches the Rfam family "Bacterial small subunit ribosomal RNA", at positions 40 to 828 of the family's 1533-position model. Lineage: Bacteria; Bacillati; Bacillota; Bacilli; Caryophanales; Bacillaceae. The record is from RNAcentral.